RNAcentral lists this long non-coding RNA (205 nucleotides) under Cucumis sativus (cucumber). RNAcentral's name for it is "long non-coding RNA (CSAT_LNC001038)". Lineage: Eukaryota; Viridiplantae; Streptophyta; Magnoliopsida; Cucurbitales; Cucurbitaceae. The record is from RNAcentral.
CCUACUUUUAUCCAUAAUAUUUUACUUAGCUUCAACAACUUUUCAACUUUUUACCAAUCAUCAUUUUUCAUUUGGUUGUUUAUGUAUUUUAAUUCUUUUGAAUAAAUGAUACUUGAAUCAUUUAGAGCUGCUGAGAAUCAAUCUGUAAACCAUCCACAAAUUAAUUGAGUCAACAAAGUAAGUUUAUACUUGCGGUUAAUUUAGG